GUAAUGCUAGCUUUGGCAGUACAUACAAUAAAAUUGAAAUAUACAGAGAAGAUUAACAUCCUGUGCAAGGAUGACAUGAAAACUCAUGAAGCCCUCUAUUUUUUU
Small nuclear RNA from Suncus etruscus (white-toothed pygmy shrew), 105 nucleotides. NCBI's taxonomy places the organism in Eukaryota, Metazoa, Chordata, Mammalia, Eulipotyphla, Soricidae. The record is from RefSeq and is a predicted model, not a curated record.